This 75-nucleotide transfer RNA is filed under the name Dipodomys ordii (Ord's kangaroo rat). It matches the Rfam family "tRNA". Rfam says of the family: Transfer RNA (tRNA) molecules are approximately 80 nucleotides in length. Their secondary structure includes four short double-helical elements and three loops (D, anti-codon, and T loops). The record is from Rfam by way of RNAcentral. Lineage: Eukaryota; Metazoa; Chordata; Mammalia; Rodentia; Heteromyidae.
GAUGAUAUAGUUUAAUGGUAGAGUACUUGCCUCAUAUGCAUGAUGCCCUGGAUUUAUCAAUCCCCAAUAUCACCA